CCUACGGGAGGCAGCAGUAGGGAAUAUUGCUCAAUGGGGGAAACCCUGAAGCAGCAACGCCGCGUGGAGGAUGAAGGUUUUCGGAUUGUAAACUCCUUUUGUUAGAGAAGAUAAUGACGGUAUCUAACGAAUAAGCACCGGCUAACUCUGUGCCAGCAGCCGCGGUAAUACGGAGGGUGCAAGCGUUACUCGGAAUCACUGGGCGUAAAGAGCGCGUAGGCGGGAAAGCAAGUCAGAUGUGAAAUCGUAGGGCUUAACCAUAGAACUGCAGUUGAAACUGGUAUUCUAGAGUAUGGGAGAGGUAGGUGGAAUUCGUGGUGUAGGGGUAAAAUGCGUAGAGAUCAAGAAGAAUACUGAUUGCGAAGGCGACCUGCUAGAACAUAACUGACGCUGAUGUGCGAAAGCGUGGGGAGCGAACAGGAUUAGAUACCCCUGUAGUC
This 440-nucleotide ribosomal RNA is filed under the name uncultured bacterium. Its description in RNAcentral is "partial 16S ribosomal RNA". It matches the Rfam family "Bacterial small subunit ribosomal RNA", at positions 338 to 795 of the family's 1533-position model. The record is from RNAcentral.